UGUGAACUCGAAGAGUAGGGCGGGACACGUGGUAUCCUGUCUGAAUAUGGGGGGACCAUCCUCCAAGGCUAAAUACUCCUGACUGACCGAUAGUGAACCAGUACCGUGAGGGAAAGGCGAAAAGAACCCCGGCGAGGGGAGUGAAAAAGAACCUGAAACCGUGUACGUACAAGCAGUGGGAGCACCUUCGGGUGUGACUGCGUACCUUUUGUAUAAUGGGUCAGCGACUUAUAUUCUGUAGCAAGGUUAACCGUAUAGGGGAGCCGCAGGGAAACCGAGUCUUAACUGGGCGUUAAGUUGCAGGGUAUAGACCCGAAACCCGGUGAUCUAGCCAUGGGCAGGUUGAAGGUUGGGUAACACUAACUGGAGGACCGAACCGACUAAUGUUGAAAAAUUAGCGGAUGACUUGUGGCUGGGGGUGAAAGGCCAAUCAAACCGGGAGAUAGCUGGUUCUCCCCGAAAGCUAUUUAGGUAGCGCCUCGUGAACUCAUCUUCGGGGGUAGAGCACUGUUUCGGCUAGGGGGUCAUCCCGACUUACCAACCCGAUGCAAACUACGAAUACCGAAGAAUGUUAUCACGGGAGACACACGGCGGGUGCUAACGUCCGUCGUGAAGAGGGAAACAACCCAGACCGCCAGCUAAGGUCCCAAAGUCAUGGUUAAGUGGGAAACGAUGUGGGAAGGCACAGACAGCCAGGAUGUUGGCUUAGAAGCAGCCAUCAUUUAAAGAAAGCGUAAUAGCUCACUGGUCGAGUCGGCCUGCGCGGAAGAUGUAACGGGGCUAAACCAUGCACCGAAGCUGCGGCAGCGACACUAUGUGUUGUUGGGUAGGGGAGCGUUCUGUAAGCCUGCGAAGGUGUGCUGUGAGGCAUGCUGGAGGUAUCAGAAGUGCGAAUGCUGACAUAAGUAACGAUAAAGCGGGUGAAAAGCCCGCUCGCCGGAAGACCAAGGGUUCCUGUCCAACGUUAAUCGGGGCAGGGUGAGUCGACCCCUAAGGCGAGGCCGAAAGGCGUAGUCGAUGGGAAACAGGUUAAUAUUCCUGUACUUGGUGUUACUGCGAAGGGGGGACGGAGAAGGCUAUGUUAGCCGGGCGACGGUUGUCCCGGUUUAAGCAUGUAGGCUGGUUAUCCAGGCAAAUCCGGAUAAUCAAGGCUGAGGUGUGAUGACGAGGCACUACGGUGCUGAAGUAACAAAUGCCCUGCUUCCAGGAAAAGCCUCUAAGCA
Molecule: ribosomal RNA, 1223 nt
Filed under: Klebsiella pneumoniae
Lineage: Bacteria; Pseudomonadati; Pseudomonadota; Gammaproteobacteria; Enterobacterales; Enterobacteriaceae
Description: partial 23S ribosomal RNA
Rfam family: Bacterial large subunit ribosomal RNA
Source: RNAcentral